CGGAAAGGCCCCUUCGGGGGUACUCGAGUGGCGAACGGGUGAGUAACACGUGGGUGAUCUGCCCUGCACUUUGGGAUAAGCCUGGGAAACUGGGUCUAAUACCGAAUACACCCUUCUGAUCGCAUGGUCUGGGAGGGGAAAGCUUUUGCGGUGUGGGAUGGGCCCGCGGCCUAUCAGCUUGUUGGUGGGGUGAUGGCCUACCAAGGCGACGACGGGUAGCCGGCCUGAGAGGGUGUCCGGCCACACUGGGACUGAGAUACGGCCCAGACUCCUACGGGAGGCAGCAGUGGGGAAUAUUGCACAAUGGGCGCAAGCCUGAUGCAGCGACGCCGCGUGGGGGAUGACGGCCUUCGGGUUGUAAACCUCUUUCAGCAUCGACGAAGCGCAAGUGACGGUAGAUGCAGAAGAAGCACCGGCCAACUACGUGCCAGCAGCCGCGGUAAUACGUAGGGUGCGAGCGUUGUCCGGAAUUACUGGGCGUAAAGAGCUCGUAGGUGGUUUGUCACGUUGUUCGUGAAAACUCACAGCUUAACUGUGGGCGUGCGGGCGAUACGGGCAGACUAGAGUACUGCAGGGGAGACUGGAAUUCCUGGUGUAGCGGUGGAAUGCGCAGAUAUCAGGAGGAACACCGGUGGCGAAGGCGGGUCUCUGGGCAGUAACUGACGCUGAGGAGCGAAAGCGUGGGGAGCGAACAGGAUUAGAUACCCUGGUAGUCCACGCCGUAAACGGUGGGUACUAGGUGUGGGUUUCCUUCCUUGGGAUCCGUGCCGUAGCUAACGCAUUAAGUACCCCGCCUGGGGAGUACGGCCGCAAGGCUAAAACUCAAAGGAAUUGACGGGGGCCCGCACAAGCGGCGGAGCAUGUGGAUUAAUUCGAUGCAACGCGAAGAACCUUACCUGGGUUUGACAUGCACAGGACGC
RNAcentral lists this ribosomal RNA (920 nucleotides) under Mycobacterium sp. RNAcentral describes it as "bacterial SSU rRNA". It matches the Rfam family "Bacterial small subunit ribosomal RNA", at positions 67 to 998 of the family's 1533-position model. The record is from RNAcentral. Lineage: Bacteria; Bacillati; Actinomycetota; Actinomycetes; Mycobacteriales; Mycobacteriaceae.